Long non-coding RNA from Uranotaenia lowii, 360 nucleotides. RefSeq lists it as uncharacterized. Lineage: Eukaryota; Metazoa; Arthropoda; Insecta; Diptera; Culicidae. The record is from RefSeq and is a predicted model, not a curated record. The transcript has 3 exons.
AUCAAAACAACCCAAAAUUAAGAAUGCCCGGGCAUCAAAACAAAGUUUAGCUGCCGUUCUUAAUUUUGGGCUGCUAUCAACACCCCAAAAUCAAAGUUCACAGUUUGAACUGAAGCCCCCAAAAACUUAUCGUUCAGAAUUUGUUUCGUUUCUUGCCGCCGCGCUGUUUGUUUUUGUAUAAAUUUUUUUCCAUUGAAAAAGGAGUAUGUAGUAAGCCAACAUUAAUUGUUAAAAUUUGGGAAGAAUUGUAGGAAAUUGGAGGAACGGACCAACAAAUUGAACGGGGAUAUCACCCAAAUACAGAUAGAGCUCGAAAAAUUUCACCAUGGGAAUUAUAAUAACACAGUUAAACACAAAGUG